RNAcentral lists this transfer RNA (69 nucleotides) under Epodonta lineata. RNAcentral's name for it is "tRNA-Leu". Lineage: Eukaryota; Metazoa; Arthropoda; Insecta; Lepidoptera; Notodontidae. The record is from RNAcentral.
ACUAUUUUGGCAGAAAAAAUGUAAUGGUUUUAGAAGUCAUGAAUAUAUAAGUUUAUUAUAUAGAUAGUA